CUCACACACAGAGAAGUGCCCACAACUGCAGUGUGUGUGUGUGUGUGUGUGCGGGUGCAUGUGUGGGCGCAUGUGUGUGUGAAAGAGAGGGAAUCUCUAAAUCACUGGACUACUGAAUUCUACACUGAAAACCUCCUGACGCACUGCUGUGUCUAGUUAUGGCAAGUGAGUUUUCAUUCAAGGGGCAUCCAGAGUUGGGCGAUCCCAGACGGAUUUAUGCAUGGAUGCUGUUGGUCAGUUUUUAUGAACUAAGCAAAGAAAUUUGAGCAGUCAUCCCUGCCCCCCCUCCCACCAUGGAUACAGACUCGGACCAUGGACUCAUUUGAUGAUGCAUUCAACCAAGACAAGAAAACCUGGGGCAGUGGUGGGAAAAAAAGGAAAAAUCGUCACACAAGAAAAAAGAAGAGGGAUUUGACUCGGCUGUGAGCGUGCAGUUGCAGGACUGAAGUGCGAACGCUCACGCGAGGUAAAAGAAGGAUGGCACAGUUUUUUUAAGCUCCAACACUACCCGCGAUUUUUCUGCGACCAGCUUGGCUCUUUUUAGUUUGGAAACUUGUUGAUCACGGUACCAGAGAAAGAGAAAAAAUGCAACAAAUCAUGCUGAGAAAGCGCAAAAACCGCCUCAAACCUGAUUAGGUCGUCGUGGAGAUGCCGCUGCUGCUGGUGCUGCUGCCAAUCACGGGACUGUGUCAGAGGGCAACUGUUCAAAAGCAGCUUCAACCUUACCGGACAUGUAGAGAUUAUAGUGGGGCACAAUUUCUUUUGCCAGCCUCAGGCAAAACAACUUACAACAUCCUGGAUCCAUUAAGGAAGUUUCCAUGGGGGACAUGUGUGGAAAAAAGAGGCUGCGUUUUAAACUCUCAGUUCUUCCUCAAGAGUUCCUGGCGGGGCGGGGGGCAAAGCAGCUAGAGAGAAAAUACUGGAGCAAGGUGGGGUAGGGAUUGGGGGUGAGGGGGCGUAGCGAGGGCUUGAGCGGCAUCAACCGUUCCUUUAUGCUGUGAGUUCUGAAAAGCCACCGGAAAACCACACAGCCGCGAGCCAGGUUACCUUUUCUGUUUGAACCAGGCCAACACACGCGGCCCCUGCAGUAGCAGCAGCUGCUCCCGGUCUCCGCGGUGACAACAGGAAGGCGUUGGCGUUUGUUUGGAAGUCCAGUUUAAACACAUAUCGCAGAGUGCCCCCAAAACACACGGCACGGAGAAGGAACGCGACUGGAGUUCGGCAUCUGGAACGCAGAAGAAUGUGUAGCCGGCGCGGGAGAUCGCGGGAGAGCAAAUCGGGCGCGGCCGAACAAUGACGUCGCACAAGCGGGCACCCGCCGACAAACAAAUGCAAUAACUGAAGUAAACCAGCUGAACGUUCUGGAAAGCCUGGCAUGAUUUGGAUAUCGGCGGCUGUGCACCACUAUGCAAAAUCAACGGCGCUCACUUUCCAAACUUAUUCUCACGGAGGUUAUUACACAGUGCCUACUCCUAUAGGCACGCGCAUCUGUAGCCAAAGUAUGCACAUCUGUCCCAGAUGGUUUAAAGACAUACACUAUGGCGUACUUCCAAAAAAUUUGCAAUUAUAAUCCUUAGAGGUUUUUUUAUGUGAAAGUGCUACCGUGGACCUCAUUUAAAGCCAUAAUCAAAUAGGUGGCAUCUCAUAACCAGCCCGGCUAACACCAAAUGUUACCGGAAUGUUUUGUCAAUGUUAUAACGUUGUCAUUGCACGGCAGCAACAUUGUGAGAAUGCUUUGUGUUAGUGUCUUCUCCUCCAUCCCCUUCAGAUCCAUGUUUGAAGAAACCUGAGCACCGAUGCGAUGGGACCGCUUAAAUGCACCAGCACAGACUGUACAAUACUGACAAAUGAUGACUGCAAAAAGCCAGUGUUUGCGGGCGGAAGUCACACAACGCGCAGGUUAUGCAACAGCUCUUCUGAGAGACAUGGCAGCUCUGCCAAACACUACAAAGAAAUCAGACUGCUGAUAACAGGGGCAUUCAAGUACCAGGAAGUAGUUGUCAUUCAUACUGAAGACUGAAAGGACUCUAAUCGGCACUGUCUCCAAAACAAUAUCGGCGUUCGGCACAGGUGCGCGCACGCGCAGAAACAAUAUAUCGCGGAGGAUAAUGGGCAGGCAAAUAAUCCUGAGCCGAGACAGAAGUCGCUACAUAUAAGUUUUUCUAGUUAUGUAAAUAAAAAUAAAAACAUUUGGAAGCCGUGGCUCACUUGUGUGUUAUAGAAGUACUGCAAAUAUUCAGUGUAUUCAAGCAUUUUUAAAACGUGUAUAUAACGUAAGAAAAGUUUGAUUAAUUUGACACUCUAGCCCUUGGCCCCCAUCCAACAGUUUAUUAUUUUCUUAUAUUUGAAUUGCUGUGUUUUACAAGUUAGGUGAGCGUGCCAAUCUGAGUUGAUGGAGAAGGAAAAAAAAAAAAAAAAAAAAAAAAUUUGGAUACGAACAGCGCAACAAUUCUGUAAGAAAAUACCACAUUCCCAUCAGUGCUGUGUGUCGACGCAUUAUUGCCUCGGGGUAAUUUUGUCAUGGACAUUUUUUUUCAGCUGGAAACACUUACUGUCGAACAGAAUGCUAAUAAUUACAAAAUGUAGCUUUCGAUUUCAUAUCGACCCAAGACGGAAAUGCUGUGUGGUUCUCCGGAAUGGAUUUUUUUUUUCCGUUCGUUUUACUGGAGCAAGGGGGUUAACGACACUUGUAGACUAUUUUCCCCAACAUUGACCGUAUCAACACAUACAUGUAGUGUGAGCUACAUAACGGUCUCGACAGAGUCGCUGCGGUACAAUGUUCCCUUAAUUAUUCCCGCGUAUUCACUCACCAGUGGACCGUUCAAGGCAGGCGGCGUCCCAACGACCAGAGCGCGCGCUUCGGUGUUAUCAAAUAUAUAUGUAUCUCUUUUACUCAGAGGAACGUGUUGCCCUGACAGGGAAUGAGCACGUGCACUUGUUAUACUAUCCAUGGAGGAAAACAGAGCUGCGUAUUAAAAGGAAAGAACGCACCCAAAGUAAAUUUGUUAAAUGCAAUAUAAUUUACCAGGUUUUGAAAUCUUAAGGCAUGAAUAAUUUACAUUGAUGUACAUUUCUAACCGGCCAAUAAAAUACAUUAACAGCAUGUCUGAAAAGGAUACUUUCCAUAGAUUAUAGAGCCUAGUUGCAUGAUUUUAAUGGACGAGAUUGCUUAAACAUUUAAAAUUCUAUCUAUGACAUGUCAAGAGGAUACAAUGAAGGAGGAAAAAAAUUUAAGAACUCACAAAAUAAAAUUCCGGUUUAUUGUCGUACAACAAACUUCACACAUACAUCAAACAGGCCACAAUAAACAGCAAUUUCAUGGACAAAAAAAAAAAAAAAAAA
This is a long non-coding RNA of Anguilla anguilla (European eel), 3342 nucleotides long. RefSeq lists it as uncharacterized. The record is from RefSeq and is a predicted model, not a curated record. NCBI's taxonomy places the organism in Eukaryota, Metazoa, Chordata, Actinopteri, Anguilliformes, Anguillidae. The transcript has 5 exons.